UACGUAGGUGGCAAGCGUUAUCCGGAAUUAUUGGGCGUAAAGAGCGCGCAGGUGGUUAAUUAAGUCUGAUGUGAAAGCCUACGGCUUAACCGUGGAGGGUCAUUGGAAACUGGUUGACUUGAGUGCAGAAGAGGGAAGUGGAAUUCCAUGUGUAGCGGUGAAAUGCGUAGAGAUAUGGAGGAACACCAGUGGCGAAGGCGGCUUCCUGGUCUGUAACUGACACUGAGGCGCGAAAGCGUGGGGAGCAAACAGG
Molecule: ribosomal RNA, 253 nt
Filed under: uncultured bacterium
Lineage: Bacteria
Description: partial 16S ribosomal RNA
Rfam family: Bacterial small subunit ribosomal RNA
Source: RNAcentral